CCUCUCUCUCUCGCUCACUCCAUCAUACAAAGUUUCCCUCGCUCUCCGUUUGUCCCGGAGACACAAAGAUGGAUGGAGAAGCUCCUGGAAUGGGCCGCACAAUAGCUUGUGCCACAAGGUGAGCAGCCUCAGCUGCAUACGGCCUUUUUUUGGACUUGAGCGAGGCUCCUCUGCUGACUGGAGAAGAAGUGUGUGAGGAGGGGAUGAGGGGGCUGUGGCUGCCGUGGAGACUGAGCAAGAGGAAAUGUGAGGGCAACGGCGUGAUGGAAUACUAGAACGCUGGAUGUCUGGACAGUAUAACCAUCAGGAUCUUGGUCACCUCCCCCAAUUGCUGAUCUUUCCAUCUCCAGUUUCUGCCUCAAAACAAUCCUGCCUCAGAGGUCUGCAGACAAUGCGUUUGACUUCGUGCUUGACCUCUGACCUGCACUGUCAGCUGUGGAACUGUGUAGAGGCAGGCGUGUGCCUUUCCAGACCAGGUUCAAUCAAUUGCACUUACCACAAGCAUGCCAGUUUCUGUAAGUAGCUGUGUCUCCAUUAGCUACGAAAAUGCACAUAUUGAAAUGACAAAAAUAAGUUUGCUCAAUGGAAACACGUCAAUUAAAACAUUUCUUUUUUAAAUUCACGAAGUUCUUUUGCUGGGAUGAGGUUGUUUUUCAGCCAUACUGAAACAUUGUUUUCACUUGAUGUUGCUACUGAUGAAAACCACGAAGAAGACGACAGGAAGUAGUAGGAAGAUGAUGUCUUUUUUUGUUUGCUUUUUUCAGCCGAUGUGCAGCUGGCUCUGCCAGAGCUCUUUCGGCAUCGCACAGUUUGUAAAAAGUCGUGCGUCACUCAGACGUGUUGAAUCCACAGCUCUUCUGAAAAAUCGGCAACUGCAAAACACAGCUAUCAAGCAUAAGCGGUUUUUCACUACCACACAAUUACAAAUAACUCUCGUAACUGGUAACAUCCGUCCCUGCUGUGGUUGUUAGUGGCUUAUUUUGUGAACAAGCGUAAUCACGUGUGAUUUCAAUUGCGUUUCUUAUUUAAUGAAAAACACCACAACUGCAAAUUUGUGUUUUUUUCGACAUUAGCCAAAUAUAGACAAAGAUUUGCACACAUUUGUAAUGGAAACGCAGCUUGUGUUUCUCUCUGGUCACAGGUUGUGAUUGGCAGUGGCACCUGGCCAGUGAUCCCAGACUCUUAUAAAAGCUGAGUGAAGACUACCACCGUGCGUGCGUGUGUUUGCUCCUCCUCAUUUCCAACCAGAGAUGGAAGGAGGUUGCCACCUCGGGGCAUGCUGGCAAACCCAAAAUGGACUGUUUUUUUUCCUCUCGUGAACCAGUUAAUAAAUUAUAUGUAGACUUUUUCUACUUAAAUUUAUGUCUGUGGGGUUAUUUUGUUGUCGUCUGCUGAGGCCGAAGAGCCGUGACAAAGAUUGUGACGUUUCUUUUUCUUCUCUUUUAUAAUCAGCUCAUUGGAGAUAUUUUACACAGUCAAAUGUGGUUUUUAUGAAACAGUUUAAAUGCCACAGAUCACGCUUCCUUUUCCUGGACGCGUCCGAAACACAGCAGCGUUCCACCGGAGCCUCCAGCCUCCGCCUGUAGGGGAGCCCAGGCGAGGAGGAGGGGCCCGGCUCCGGGUUUAAUGUAGCCGAUUGUGUUCCCGUGAAAAAAGGAACAGUUUCUUCUGUGUUAAUUUUCAAUUUUGUUUCUGUCUGUGUGUCCAGCUUUUGUGUUCAGUUCGUCUUCCCCUCCCAAAAGCCACCACCACCCCUCUCUCUUUUCUUUUCACUUCUCCUCUCGUCAGGCCGUCUAGAUUAUGUUGCUAAGGAGAUUUUUUCCUCCCCCCCACCUUUUUUUCUUUUGCUUUUUUCCCCCUCUUUUUACUAUUUCCCAUUGAUUUGGUGUUAAUGCGUUUUGAAUGCCCCUUGGUGUGUGCCGAGCGCCGGGGGGAGCGGGAGGGGUCUGGCCGAGUGGAGGAAUUUGAAUCUGAAGCGGUGAGGUGGGGCUCCGUGUGGGUGAAGGCCCAAAGAGAGGCACUCAAGUGAGAACUGAAGUGGUUUGCAGAGCUGAGGAGCCUCUCCGCCGGCCGCUGCCCCUCCUCUCCCCGUCUCCGUUCCCUCCAUUCUUUUUCAGGGUCACCCCCUUUACAAGCAGCCCACAGGUGCACUGUCAAUCUUUCCUUUUCAUAUCCAAACCAAACCCAUGAGCAAAACAAACAUAUUAUUACCCUCACUGAGUAAAUGGCUGAAAAUGGGCCCAGCAGAUUGCAGAUCAAAUUAGGUAGCAGAGUUUAGGUCAUGAUGGAAAUGGAAAUGGUUGCAUUAAUAGACUGUAUGAGAGCUCAUUCUAGUAUUAUCCCACUGGAUUUAUAUCACUUUCUCAUUUUAUUACAUACGUUUAGUGCCAACACUCAUUUCCAGUGCGUCGGAUGCUCUUUAAGAAAGAGACAUUAAGGGUGUAACGGCUGGGUUGGUAGUUCAUAUCCCAUAUGGUUCUAUAGACAGACCUGCACCACUGUGUUGGCAUCCAUUAUAAGGUUUUUGAUUGGCUGCUUACGCCUUUGUGUUUCCAUUACAAAGGUGCGCAAAACUGCGUUGAUAUUCUGCUAAUGUAAAGAAAAACAAAAAAACAACACAAUUUCUCUGUUGUGGAGUGUCCA
This is a long non-coding RNA of Xiphophorus hellerii (green swordtail), 2643 nucleotides long. RefSeq lists it as uncharacterized. The record is from RefSeq and is a predicted model, not a curated record. NCBI's taxonomy places the organism in Eukaryota, Metazoa, Chordata, Actinopteri, Cyprinodontiformes, Poeciliidae. The transcript is spliced from 4 exons.